Molecule: ribosomal RNA, 140 nt
Filed under: uncultured bacterium
Lineage: Bacteria
Description: partial 16S ribosomal RNA
Rfam family: Bacterial small subunit ribosomal RNA
Source: RNAcentral
UGGGGAAUAUUGCGCAAUGGGGGCAACCCUGACGCAGCAACGCCGCGUGCAGGAAGAAGGUCUUCGGAUUGUAAACUGUUGUCGCAGGGGAAGAAGACAGUGACGGUACCCUGUGAGAAAGUCACGGCUAACUACGUGCC